This is a long non-coding RNA of Halichondria panicea, 966 nucleotides long. RefSeq lists it as uncharacterized. The transcript is spliced from 3 exons. Lineage: Eukaryota; Metazoa; Porifera; Demospongiae; Suberitida; Halichondriidae. The record is from RefSeq and is a predicted model, not a curated record.
CAUGCGCAUGGAUACUAACUGCUCUACACGUACACUGGGCCAUUCCAUAGUCUCGCAAGCAGACUUGUUCCCUCCCUCCCACGUCUGCUCGCGAGACUAGCCAUUCGAGACCACAUCAUCUUGCACUGCUUUGACGAAGCAUGGCAACCCUGUUCACUUGGACAAGGAGGGGGAGGUCUCUACUCUAGUCACGUAUGCACUGCAGAAGGAAUCACUCGACUGCAUGAGCGUAUAUAUUAAGUUCAUGUACUAGACCUAGCUGAUGUAAAUCCUAUUGCUUUAGAGGCUGCAACCCCCUUUCACCUCACUUUAAAAGCAUGCAAGAAGCUGAAAUGAUAUGUGUAGACUAGUGUAUACGUUACAGAGCCUAUAUAUAUAGUGUGGUCCCACUGUAGCUAGUGGUUGACUUGUGUUUUCUCUACAUAUAGUGAAGGGUUGUUUGUAUACCAUAUAGAGUACGCUGCUCCCCCCACACACACACAGGUGUUGAUGUCCGCCCACCCCACACUCCUCACAUUCCCCGACAUCACACAGAGCACCCCCCUCCAUCACACCAGUGCAUACUCCUCACCACACCUACUUCUAUAUCUCCAUCACACCAGUGCAUACUCCUCACCACACCUACUUCUAUAUCUCCUCUCUCACGAGAGCACGCCCCUGUCAAUCAACACCACCAACAGCUACCAACGUACUCCCCUCCAUUGUGCCGUGGCCUACAACAGUGUGUACAAUACAGACCUGUUGCUACGACGAGGAGCGGACGUACAGCUGUGCAAUAAUGAGGCCCCUAUUGAUUACGCCCACGAGCUGGAGAACGGAGAGGACAUGCUCGCAAUACUAGAAGGACUUUGAGUGGACUGAUGUGAAGAGUUCACGACCUCACAAACUGAACGAUUUAGCACCACCUGGUAGUAGAUUCUGUACCGUCUCGUAGCUCAAUUUUAAUAAUAAUAAUUAUUAAACAAA